RNAcentral lists this ribosomal RNA (506 nucleotides) under uncultured bacterium. Its description in RNAcentral is "partial 16S ribosomal RNA". It matches the Rfam family "Bacterial small subunit ribosomal RNA", at positions 29 to 523 of the family's 1533-position model. The record is from RNAcentral.
AGUGAACGCAGGCGGUAGGCCUAACACAUGCAAGUCGAACGGCAGCACAGGAGAGCUUGCUCUCUGGGUGGCGAGUGGCGGACGGGUGAGGAAUACAUCGGAAUCUACUCUGUCGUGGGGGAUAACGUAGGGAAACUUACGCUAAUACCGCAUACGACCUACGGGUGAAAGCAGGGGACCUUCGGGCCUUGCGCGAUUGAAUGAGCCGAUGUCGGAUUAGCUAGUUGGCGGGGUUAAGGCCCACCAAGGCGACGAUCCGUAGCUGGUCUGAGAGUAUGAUCAGCCACACUGGAACUGAGACACGGUCCAGCCUCCUACGGGAGGCAGCAGUGUGGAAUAUUGGACAAUGGGCGCAAGCCUGAUCCAGCCAUACCGCGUGGGUGAAGAAGGCCUUCGGGUUGUAAAGCCCUUUUGUUGGGAAAGAAAUCCAGCUGGCUAAUACCCGGUUGGGAUGACGGUACCCAAAGGAUAAGCACCGGCUAACUUCGUGCCAGCCGCCGCCGUAA